UUGAAUUUUAAUGAAGAGUUUGGUUGUAGCUGGCCCAUUCAUUUGGGCAUGUGCACACCUUCCUCUUUCAUCCCACACACACCUGUGAACCUGUGAGACAGAGAUGGGGAAUUUACUUGCUGCUUUUUGGAAUACAAAGGCAAUAGGUUAUUGGACCCCCCCUCUGUCUACUCAAUUAAUAUAAACUCAAUUUAUUUUAAAACGAGUGUAAUGGAUGUAACACAUCUCAUAC
Molecule: unclassified non-coding RNA, 232 nt
Filed under: soil metagenome
Description: partial internal transcribed spacer 1
Source: RNAcentral